GUCACCUCGUCCCUCGUUCUAAUGCCCAAAACCCAAGCGACGGCACAUCCCCUUCCGUCCGUCGCGGCUAGGGUUGGGGCCGAAGGAGGCGAUCGAGAUUGCUCCUCUUCUCCUCUGGCGGGGGAGGUAGUGCCCCUCCUCCUUCUCUCCAUUUCCAAAGAUAUGUCUGCGUAGGGGUUUCGGAACGGUAAGCCGGUGCGACGGCUUUGUGGCGCUAUUAGACCUGAAAAGAUAGAUUAGUAGUCGGAGGCGAAGGUGGAGAUGUUGAAGACGGGUUCCACUCCUCGCGACAGAGCCGUGAGAUCCAACGCUAACCCUAACCCUAACCCCAGCACGGGCUCGGCAAUCGAGUCGAUCCCUAAGACUUCUUUAAUGGUUGCUUUAUCGAAUGCCGGCAGCAAAAGGCGGCCGGAGGGUGCCUCGUCCUCGAUGCAGCUUACGAGCAAGGAGGCCAAGCUGAAGAACAGCAAGCCAACUCCAGAACUAUCUGAAACUGGUAUUGAAGAAACAGAUCUUAGUACUUCAGAUGAUGAUGCUUCAUCAUGGAUAUCUUGGUUCUGUGGGUUGCGAGGUAAUGAGUUCCUCUGUGAAGUUGAUGAGGACUACAUACAAGAUGACUUCAACUUAUGCGGGCUACAAGCACAGAUCUCCUAUUAUGAUAAUGCCUUGGACAUGAUUUUGGACAAUGACUCGUUUAGUGGCGACAUUGAUGGUGAAGAAAAUAGUGAAAUUGAACCUGCUGCAGAGUUACUAUAUGGUCUUAUUCAUGCCCGUUAUGUUGUAACCACCAGAGGACUAAAUGCAAUGCAUGAGAAGUACAAGAAAGCAGACUUUGGCCGCUGUCCUCGAGUCUUUUGUGGGGGACAGCCAUGCUUGCCAGUGGGCAUAUCAGAUAUUCCCCACAGUGGAUCUGUAAGGAUCUAUUGCCCAAAAUGUGAUGACGUUUACUUUCCAAGAUGCAAAUACCAGAGUGAUAUGGAUGGUGCUUACAUUGGCACAACAUUUCCUCACCUUUAUUUGAUGACAUAUCCUUCAGCUAAAUCUGCAACGACGGUCCAGCAUUAUGUGCCAAAGGUUUAUGGAUUCAAGUUGCAUAAGGGCUCUAAAUAAUUGCUCAGAGAACAUGCAUCCCCAGUUUUAUUCUGACAGCAGGUUCAUCCUGCUCCUGAUAUGUGGCGGUCACUACUGAUCUUGACGCUGAAACAUCACCGGGCCCGGCUGCUACCCUCAAACCUUCUAUGGUGGAAGGUGUCGACAUGCCACUCUUAAUGACCAUCUUGUUUUAAAUGCUGCAAUCUUCAUCACCGAUGGAUCUUUCGUCGGUGACAGCGAUCGUCUUCGCUCAGGUCACAGAAACCUUGCAUCCUCUGCGUAGUUAUCCUCCAAGAUGACGAUUACUCGGCCGUAGUUAUCCUCUGCGUGACCCAGAAGAGAUAUCACUUCAUCUACGUCUUUUCUUUGACGUAGCCACCGAGUUAGGCUCGGCUUAUCUUACCAUUUCUUGUGCAGGAGAUAGAGAGAUUCCUGUAAAGGUCAAGUGAGUAAGGAUGAACAUGUCAUCUCACGAGUCAAUUAUCCACCUCACGUCACUUGUUUUUUUAGGAGAAGUCACCCGAGUAAAGACCAGAGAACAGAAUUAAAAAA
Molecule: RNA transcript, 1644 nt
Organism: Musa acuminata AAA Group (dessert banana)
Lineage: Eukaryota; Viridiplantae; Streptophyta; Magnoliopsida; Zingiberales; Musaceae
Gene name: casein kinase II subunit beta-1-like
Exons: 6
Source: RefSeq, a predicted model, not a curated record